GGGCGUGUGGUCUAGUGGUAAAGACGUUAGACGCCUAAGCUGAAGACCCGGGUUCGAUUCCCGGCUCGGCCA
This 72-nucleotide transfer RNA is filed under the name Leguminivora glycinivorella. RNAcentral's name for it is "tRNA-Arg". It matches the Rfam family "tRNA". From Rfam's summary of the family: Transfer RNA (tRNA) molecules are approximately 80 nucleotides in length. Lineage: Eukaryota; Metazoa; Arthropoda; Insecta; Lepidoptera; Tortricidae. The record is from RNAcentral.